UACGGAGGGGGCUAGCGUUGUUCGGAAUUACUGGGCGUAAAGUGCACGUAGGCGGAUUGCUAAGUCAGGGGUGAAAUCCUGGAGCUCAACUCCAGAACUGCCUUUGAUACUGGCGAUCUUGAGUCCGGGAGAGGUGAGUGGAACUGCGAGUGUAGAGGUGAAAUUCGUAGAUAUUCGCAAGAACACCAGUGGCGAAGGCGGCUCACUGGCCCGGUACUGACGCUGAGGUGCGAAAGCGUGGGGAGCAAACAGG
RNAcentral lists this ribosomal RNA (253 nucleotides) under uncultured bacterium. RNAcentral's name for it is "partial 16S ribosomal RNA". It matches the Rfam family "Bacterial small subunit ribosomal RNA", at positions 524 to 776 of the family's 1533-position model. The record is from RNAcentral.